Molecule: long non-coding RNA, 1389 nt
Filed under: Astyanax mexicanus (Mexican tetra)
Lineage: Eukaryota; Metazoa; Chordata; Actinopteri; Characiformes; Acestrorhamphidae
Description: lncRNA (ENSAMXG00005005562.1)
Source: RNAcentral
AAAGGCAGUCUUAUUUUAAAGUGGUACCCUUUAGUCUUUAAUCUACAAUGCAGUGUUGUGUCUGCCUUUGCAGGAUGUGGAGGCUAACACGGUGCGUUUGGAGGAGCAUGGGAAGGUGGUGCUGGUACUGGAGAAAAGCUCAGGGCAGGAGUCGCCCCAUCAGGGCGGAUCAGGAAGCGGCAGCAAGUAAACAAACCACAUCUCUGCACUCAGUCAUAUUGUUCAGCACAUCCGAGCACGUUGCGCUCACAUUAAACCAGAACCAAAGCUCAAUCAGAAGCCUGAAAACCACAUGUUCCACAAGCUAAUUCACUGAUCAGAGGAGGAGAUGAUUAAAAUAAUGGUUCUAUUGUGUGAAAUGACUGCUAAUAAAAGCUUUUUAUAAACAUCUCCAGAGCUCUUCUUCACUUGUUCAGCUGUAAAAGGCUGGAAAAGCAGUGGAUUAGUCAGACAGCCUCAGUUAUCUACAGUCAACCAAACCUAAUUCAUUCUAAAUGGAAAUCACUGAUGAAGUGGGCCCUCAUCAGUGCUGCCGUGUUACUGCCGAUUGUGAAUCGCUCACACUUUUCUAUUUGUCACUCAGAUACACAGUGAUGUCAGGAACACCAGAGAAAAUUCUGGAACAUCUCCUGGAGACCAUCAAGCUGGAUACUAAUGGCAGUGAGCCAAUAGAUCCCUGUGUUAGUGACUUCCUUCUCACACAGCAAGUCUUCAUGCCGUCUGCGCAGCUCUGCCCUGCACUGCAGCACCAAUAUCCAAUCAAUAAUCUAUAACAAUUCAAUGCUACUGAUUGGUAUUACUCUUAUUCACACCUCUCCUUCUUUGUGACUGAUAUAGAUCAAUAUUUACAGAUUAGGGGCACUACUGAGUAAGCUGGAGUCACGUUAACCUCAGAGUUUCCAUUCCUUUUGCUUUUUUCCCGUCAAAUUGGGCUUCUUUGAAAAAAUACAGUACAGGUCAAAAGUGUCUCAUUCAGUGUUUUUGUCUUUAUUUAAUUUUUUUUUUGUGUUCAUGCCAGCAGCUCAUUCUUGUUUCUCUGGUACGAAACGAUGCCUGAUCAGAAGCCCAUAACCUAUAGCUAUAACCCACAGCAGCUCAGCCCACCUGGCUCUCCCUCCUGCCCUGCCCCUAAACCCAUACAUCACUGCAGUGCUUCUCCCAAACUACCCCAACCAUUUUUUUAGCAUUUUUCAAAUUUGAGCUGAGGGUUAAGUUAGCUGCAAUCAUAGGUUUUAGUUACCCUUUAAGAAGUAAUAAUAUCUUCGAUAGGCAUAUUGUCGAUAUAGUAAGAAAAUGAUCAAGAUACGAUAAAAUAUCAAUAUAUCGACUAACUGUACAACACAGUGAAUUUUUAAUAAACACAGAAAAAAACUUUAUGAAGGAUUUUUA